This is a non-coding RNA of Peromyscus maniculatus bairdii (prairie deer mouse), 1653 nucleotides long. NCBI's taxonomy places the organism in Eukaryota, Metazoa, Chordata, Mammalia, Rodentia, Cricetidae. The record is from RefSeq and is a predicted model, not a curated record.
UGAAGGAUGCCCAGUUCAAAUCAGAAGCCAAGAGGCCGGGGGUGGGGGUGGGGACAGAGAGACUCAACCAGCACCGGGGCCCUGGAGCCAUGGAUGAAGCCAGGGUAAGUGUCACAAACAGCAGCAAAACAUGCUCUAAAUAGCUCAGUGGGUCACAGGUGGGGAAUCCCAAGAAUGUGACUUUAAACCUACUUCCAAAUUAAGACGAGGAGCGGCAGGGACUGGCUAAAGUUCUCGAUCCAGAAAGUGUCUCACUCCCUGCCUCGCCCCUUCUCACACCUCAGAUGCUCCCUUCUCUGCCUAUGGGACUCUGAAGUCCCCGUGUCCCAACGUGCUCCCCCAAGAAACUUCCGGGGACCCCACUCCUGUGCCGCCUCCUUUCUGCACACCCAGAAACUUGCCCUGUGUCCAUGAGGAUGGCACUGGGAUGCAGAGAACAGAAGAAAACCUGACUUACAGCCACUUAGAUGACAAGGCGGAGUGGGAGAAAUGCCUUAUGGUGCCCAAGAAUAGAGAUGAGAGAAGACAGAAGAAAGAGAAUACGAAAAGUCACAACCUGCCUAUCCUCUGGACUCACUAAGUAUGGCUGCAGGUGACUUCCCUGGACCUGGGGUCGGACACGGGCAGGGAGGAGCCCGCCGGCCAGCUUGCCCUCGGAAACCGAGACAAAACAAGCCUCCCCACACCGGGUACCUUGGUUCCCUGCUUCCUCCUCCAACUUUACGGGUCACAGACAAGCUCAGCCCACAGGUCACCCUGCUGGUGUGUGGGUUACAGUGGCCGAAGUUAUUUUUCAGGAUUCUGGAGGAAACACCACCCAGGGAAAACCAUCAGUCCUUCACUUGAGCCUGAGAAGUGAAUUUCUGUCAUCAAAGGGCCAGAUCUUCACCCUCAGAUCUCGGUAAUGCUGCCAUUUUCUGAACACACGCCCUGCGAGAUGUGACAUUUGAGCACACGUGCCCAGAGAACAGGCUACCCCAUUUCUCCUUCAGUCCAUCACCUUUCCUCAUGCCUUAGAACACCCAGCUUCUUAAAUCCACAAAUGCCCUUAAACUCUGCAUUUCGGGGGCGGCAGUGGGGGGCGGGGAGCAGAUUUACACUCACUCUCCUAUCUCCGUGCAGGAAUAAACUCUCUUUUGCAAAACUCAGCUCUUCGGUGAUCUGCAAACUGUGCUGAGAGCUUGGCCCGGUAACACUACCAUCCACUACCUCCGAUCCUCGCCUCUGUAGGGAUGGUACCACCGUAAGGGUCCCCAAAAUAUAUAAGGGCAUCCCUGGGAACAAAGCAAAAAGGCACAGCAGAGCACGGCUGUGAGAAGCACCUUCGCCUCCCACGGAAUGAAAAUCAGACCCAACUCAGCUCCCAGGUCACAGACUGAAUUCACUCCAGUGAACUUACAUCUUGCUCCCAACUUCUCCACGUGGGAGAAGAAACCCAAGGCAAAGACCCACGUGUCCAGGUUCCUGAAACUCGAUUUGGACAAACCAAGUACCAAGUCAAAUAAUGAUGGUGAUAAUCUUAUUAACAAAUGAAUUAAGAGAUACUGCACAAAUGUCAUGUUAUUCUAAAUGAGAUCAAGGCAAGAAUUUAAGGCCCUUUUCCCUCCACAACACUCAGUGGACAACUUAAUAAAUUCAUAUCUGCUUGUUGGA